UGGGCCCUUUGCCUCAUCACGUGGGGCAGCUGUCCUCUGCCAGUGAGGGCAAAGAGCCACUGUGACAGCCUUUUUGGGUAUCUGCACUUGGUGGCUCCUGAAUUCUUGUCCAGUGCCCAAGAAGAAUGAGGUCAUGCAGACAAAUCAAAGGAUGUCAAGUCACCUCUUUCUGAUGUCCAGCUGCUUCUCUGAAGUCAAGUCACCUCUCCCUGUGAUCCAGCCACUUCUCUGAAGUCAAGUCACCUCUCCCCGACAUCCAGCCAUGUCUCUGAAGUCAGUUGGUGACCCUGAGGCACAGAAAGCUGAGGGAAUUUGUUCGAAGUCACACAGCUGGUAAGUGUCCUGGAGUCUACUUUCUUGACCUCUGUGCUGUGCUGCCUCUUGGGUCCAAACCCACAUACCUGAACAUAAAAUGAGCGCUUACACCUAUCCAAAGAACAGAGACAGUGCAGCCUCUCAGGUGAGUGCACCAGUCCUCUGGCCACAGGAGGGACAUGCAGAUUUCUGGGAAUGGUACCCUGUGAGUCAUGACAUUCUUGCUGAAGCUGCAUCAACUGAGACCAGUCCUGCUCCUACUUCUUCGCCGGGCCACAAUGGCUGGGAUAGUGCCUUGCAUGGAUGCUGGCACUCAGGGGCUGCUGAUGGGCAAUGAGGUAGAUGGUCAGACACGGACCUACAAAAGCAAGCCUAGGCAGUGCCUCCCAUCCCAGCCUUCUGGGAUGGAGAAGACAAGUCCUUUACAUAAUCUAAAAGAAAUUAGCAACUUCUGGCUCAAGCCUGAGUUUGCAUGUUUGCCUCCCUUGCCUCCUAAAUCCC
Pan troglodytes (chimpanzee) is the source of this 816-nucleotide long non-coding RNA. RefSeq lists it as uncharacterized. The record is from RefSeq and is a predicted model, not a curated record. The transcript has 3 exons. Lineage: Eukaryota; Metazoa; Chordata; Mammalia; Primates; Hominidae.